CAGCAACCUUGCUGGGGAUGCCCCACGAUAGGGUUCAAACAGCACUCUAUUAGGGAUGCCCCACCGUAGGGCUAACAGAGACUUGGAGAAAAAUGUUGCACUGCCGGGAACAUGAAGAUGAACAACACCACGAUAGGGUUCAAACAGCACUCUAUUAGGGAUGCCCCACCGUAGGGCUAACAGAGACUUGGAGAAAAAUGUUGCACUGCCG
Molecule: long non-coding RNA, 211 nt
Filed under: Lathyrus oleraceus (garden pea)
Lineage: Eukaryota; Viridiplantae; Streptophyta; Magnoliopsida; Fabales; Fabaceae
Description: Pisum sativum (pea) long non-coding RNA (PSAT_LNC036895)
Source: RNAcentral